This 601-nucleotide long non-coding RNA is filed under the name Castor canadensis (American beaver). RNAcentral describes it as "lncRNA (ENSCCNG00000000503.1)". Lineage: Eukaryota; Metazoa; Chordata; Mammalia; Rodentia; Castoridae. The record is from RNAcentral.
UACUGCCGUGCUGUGCUGUGUCCUCAAGGACCCACACACCUCCUCCCAUAAUUCUGGGAAGAGGACCAUGCCUUCGCUCGAAAACCCAGUCAACAGCAAGUCUCCUUCACUAGGGUCUUUGUGUAUGGUCAAAGCAGGGCUCCUUUUCCUCACUACUAUCUAAGUGUCUGUCUCUUCAAACCCCCCCCCCAAUUUUUUUUUUGAUGUGAGUAUGGUUUGAACUCAGGGCUUCACUCUUGCAAGGCAGGCACUCCAUCGCUUGAGCCACACCCCCAGUCCAUUUUGUUCUGGCUAUUUUGGAGAUGGGGUCUCCUGAACUAUUUGCCUGGACUAACCUUGAAUCUUGAUCCACCUGAUUUCAGCCUCUCAAGUAGCCAGGCGUGAGCCACCAGCGCCUUACCCUAUGGAAUAUUGCCUGUGACCCUCACCAGCUGGAGCUGCGCGCUCUUUCCUCUUCUCCCCAGCCCCAGGCAUCAUGACAGUCGUUUUCUGGGCAAGGCCCUCACCAACAGUUAGCCACAGUCUGGGAGCCUCAGCAAGCCUUGGCAGACUCCCAUGGUUUGCCACCACCCUCUGCGCCCUGCCUGUCUACUAACAUGGG